CCAUAUCUCGUCCGAUCAUCGAAGUUAAGCAACGUUGGGCCUGUUCAGUACCUAGAUGAGUAACCGCUUGGGCAUAACAGGUGCUGUUA
Acanthosepion pharaonis is the source of this 89-nucleotide non-coding RNA. Lineage: Eukaryota; Metazoa; Mollusca; Cephalopoda; Sepiida; Sepiidae. The record is from the annotation of a GenBank genome assembly.